AUGAACGCUAGCUACAGGCUUAACACAUGCAAGUCGAGGGGAAACGAUGAGAGCGCUUGCUCUCUUAGGCGUCGACCGGCGCACGGGUGAGUAACGCGUAUCCAACCUACCCAUUACAGGGGGAUAACCUUGCGAAAGUAAGACUAAUACCCCAUGGCAUUUUAUGGUGGCAUCAUUAUAGGAUUAAAGAUUUAUUGGUAAUGGAUGGGGAUGCGUCUGAUUAGCUUGUUGGCGGGGUAACGGCCCACCAAGGCAACGAUCAGUAGGGGUUCUGAGAGGAAGGUCCCCCACAUUGGAACUGAGACACGGUCCAAACUCCUACGGGAGGCAGCAGUGAGGAAUAUUGGUCAAUGGGCGAGAGCUUGAACCAGCCAAGUAGCGUGCAGGAUGACGGCCCUAUGGGUUGUAAACUGCUUUUAUAGGGGAAUAAAGUGAGCUACGUGUAGUUUAUUGCAUGUACCCUAUGAAUAAGGACCGGCUAAUUCCGUG
This 489-nucleotide ribosomal RNA is filed under the name uncultured bacterium. RNAcentral's name for it is "partial 16S ribosomal RNA". It matches the Rfam family "Bacterial small subunit ribosomal RNA", at positions 29 to 507 of the family's 1533-position model. The record is from RNAcentral.